RNAcentral lists this ribosomal RNA (496 nucleotides) under uncultured bacterium. RNAcentral's name for it is "partial 16S ribosomal RNA". It matches the Rfam family "Bacterial small subunit ribosomal RNA", at positions 29 to 507 of the family's 1533-position model. The record is from RNAcentral.
AUGAACGCUGGCGGCGUGCCUAAUACCUGCAAGUCGAGCGAACGGACGAGAAGCUUGCUUCUCUGAUGUUAGCGGCGGACGGGUGAGUAACCCGUGGAUAACCUACCUAUAAGACUGGGAUAACUUCGGGAAACCGUAGCUAAUACCGGAUAAUAUUUUGAACCGCAUGGUUCAAAAGUGAAAGACGGUCUUGCUGUCACUUAUAGAUGGAUCCGCGCUGCAUUAGCUAGUUGGUAAGGUAACGGCUUACCAAGGCAACGAUGCAUAGCCGACCUGAGAGGGUGAUCGGCCACACUGGAACUGAGACACGGUCCAGACUCCUACGAGAGGCAGCAGUAGGGAAUCUUCCGCAAUGGGCGAAAGCCUGACGGAGCAACGCCGCGUGAGUGAUGAAGGUCUUCGGAUCGUAAAACUCUGUUAUUAGGGAAGAACAUAUGUGUAAGUAACUGUGCACAUCUUGACGGUACCUAAUCAGAAAGCCACGGCUAACUACGUG